GCAAUAAAUGUCCUAAAGGCAACCAUGUGGGGGAUGGAGUACACCGGUGAACACAUCGUUCACAAACACCUACAGGUUGCGAGCCUGCUAGUGUUCCACUGGACUGUCUAGAAGAGUCCGUGGUUGUCAUCCGUACUCUGCUAGAUGACAGAAUCAACAACAUCAACAUCGAGGCCUCUCAUCAUUUUAUCACACAUCACCUAUUACAUCUACCCAUGUUUUACCCCAACAUUUUCAUAGAUAUAAAAUACAUAUACAGUUUAAAUCAUUGAAAACAUGUAUAAAAACGUUCAUCCAACAUAGAUAGCAAGUAUUCAGAUAAUAUGCACACAUAGCAUGUAAUUUACAUAAAAUACUUCAUAUUUAUGUGUAAGCUGAAAGUAACUAUGCACUCACCUGAAAGGUGGUGACUCAGCACUCGGACAGCGCUUCGAUACUCUCAAAACAAUUUUCCUUCGAUAAAACCUAGUACCAAUACUACUAGGGUUUAGUCUAAUGAUAACCACGACAAAUUAAUAGUCUGACUAUUAUUAUUAUUAUAUAAUUGUUUAAUAACACACAAUAUAACUCAUAAUAAUUGCCCAAAUAAUUAUUUUAAGGACCUAAUAACAUUUCUAUAAUUAUUUGAAAGCUAUAUUAAAAAUUGUGUAAGCGUAGCUCACUUACAGUGGAUUUUAAAGAAAACCGGAACUUUAUUUGGAGCAGCGUUUCGAAAAUCGAAAGACUCUUUUUCUCGGUACUCCGGGAGCCUCGGGGCUUCCUUCAGGUGCUAGGGGUUCACCUAGAAUUUAAGGGAAUCAAAAGGGGCUAGAGAGAGAGAGAGUGAGAUUUGGUGCAAGAAAACCGGCUGCCCUCACUGCCUUUUUAUAGCCUACGAGGCCUCGGACUACGCUGGGUGUAGUCCUUGGCUACACGGGGUGUAAGGCUCGGAUAAGGCUUCCAGCUGGCUUCGAACGUGGACCGAUCUCGGAGUGGAUAUGAACCGGAGUACGCGGGGCGUAGCAAAGCGAUGUGUCAUCAUCCGAAGCGAGCACCGUGGUCAGCAAGCGACAGCUCAGAUGCAGCCACAUCAUCGAUUUAGCAACAGACUUCGCAAUUUUACUUUCCGACUUCUAAAAAUCAUAACUUUCGCAUACGAGCUCCGUUUUUGACGUUCUUUAUAUCCACGCGAAGGUGGGAACAUACUCUACAACUUUCGUUUAGACUCUGUUGGCUAAUUUUGACUCUAUUUUAAAAGUUAUAUCAUUAACAUGCCGGGACAGGAUUGGUCCGUUAAAUUCUCAUAACUUCUUCAUUCAACGUCCGUUUUCGCCCAUCUUUUUCUCGUUAUGCUACUCUUAACGAGAUUUUCGAUUCUUGUUUAGGUUGCGUCGGCUAAAAACUGCUUGAUCUAAUAUUCGAAUUUCGGGCUGUACACUGCUAAACCGAAACUUCAAAAAAUCAUAACCUCCUUAUACGAAGUCAGAUUUGGGCGUUCUUUUUACGGACGCUCUUGGGUUAACGUAUUCUACGACUUUCAUUUAGAUCACUAAGGCUAAAUCUCACUCUAUCGUAAAUUCACUAUUUACGCUUUCCGGUAUCGUGCCGUUUCCGUCGCGAAACUUCGACGGGUAAUAACUUCUUCGUUAUAACUCGGAUUUCGGCGUUCUUUAUAUCCCCGGAAUCCUUGUUUCGACCACUACAACUUUAUAUAAAGAUACCGGGCUUAUCUCACACUUGAAUUUUGACGCUUAUUUUUAUCUUUUAUUUAUUAAAUAUUUAUAAAUAAAUAAUAAGCAUAAAAAUUCACAUAGUUCACGUAAUACUCAAAUAUUUCAUCUUUAUUAUUUCAAAAAGAGUUACAAUAGUUGACCUAGACUAUUACAUUGUCUAAAAAUGCUUAGCCCUGAAACCCGGGUGUUACAAUUCUCUCCCCCUUAGGAUGAUUCCGUCUCGGAAUCAUGCAUCAGGAAACAGAUGUGGAUAACGACUCAUCAUGUCAUCCUCUGUUUCCUAAGUGAGAUUCGGCCCAUUCGAAUGUUUCCAUCAAACUAGCACUAAGUCGACCAUCUUGCGUCGUAACUUCUUAGUCUCACGGUCAACAAUUGCCUCAGGCUCUUCAAUCAGCCUCUUAUUAUCAUCCAUCCUUAAUUCUGAGAUUGGAAUUAUGUCGGGAACAUCUCCCAUGAAUUUCCUCAAAUAACACACAUGGAAGGUGUUAUGAAUACCAUCGAGUUCUUUGGGCAAUUCCAGCUUGUAAGCUUGGUUCCCAAUCUUCUGAAGAACUUUCAACGGUCCAAUAAACCUUGGACUCAACUUUCCUUAUUUCCCGAAUUGUAUAAGUCCCUUCCACGGUGAGAGUUUAAGCAAAACCGAAUCCCCAACUUUGAAGGUUAUCGAUCGUCUUUUCUUGUCAGCAUAGCUCUUCUGACGAUCUUGAGCUGCUAACAUUCUUUCUCUGAUCACUUUCAACGUCUCUGCAGUCUCAUGGACUAUCUCGGGGAUCAUAAACUGCUUCUCUCUGGCUUCAAGCCAACAAGACGGCGUACGACACUUCUGUCCAUACAAGGCUUGAUUAGGUGCCAUCUUGAUGCUCGAGUGAAAACUAUUGUUGUAGGAAAAUUCUACCAGAUGUAAGUGCUCGUCCCAGUUUCCUUGGAACUCAAGGGUACAUGCUCUCAACAUAUCUUCCAGUGUCUGAAUCGUUCUUUCGCUCUGGCCAUUAGUUUGCGGAUGGUAAGCAGUACUCAAACACAACUUUGUACCCAACUCGUCUUGUAGACUCCUCCAAAACCUUGACGUGAAACGACUAUCACGAUUUGAUACAAUCGUAAGAGGAACACCGUGAAGUCUUACAAUUUCCUUCACGUAAGCAUUUGCGAGCUUAUCCAUAGACCACUUCUCGUUGGCUGCUAUGAAGUGUGCACUCUUGGUGAAACGAUCCACGGCUACCCAAAUCAUGUCGUGUUCGUUCUUUGUCUUGGGCAGUUUAGUCACAAAAUCCAUGGUGAUGUCUUCCUAUUUACCCAUGGGUACAGGUAAAGGUUCUAAACUCCCAUACAGUUUUUGAUGUUGUGCCUUAACUCUCGCACAUGUCACGCACUCGGCCACAUACUUCGCAACAUCGAGCUUCAUUGUCGGCCACCUGUAGUAGGGUUUUAGGUCCCUAUACAUUUUAGUGCUACCGGGAUGAAUCGAGUACAUGGUCUGGUGUGCUUCUUCCAUCAGAAGGUCUCUUAUUCCUCCCAUCUUAGGUACCCAGAUUCGAUCUUGGAAUACCUUUAGUCCUCGACUGUUUGUACCGAACACUAACAUUUUUCCCAAACGUUCUAUCUUUCGGUCAUUCUUCUCUAAAGCUUCUUCUUGAGCUUUCCUGAUACUUUCCACAAUCGUCGAGACGACCUCGAUUCUCAACGCUCUUGGCAUUUUCCUUUCAAGGUUGACUUUCCGACUGAGAGCAUGAACAACAACAUUUGCUUUACCGGGGUGGUAAAGUAUCUCACAGUCGUAGUCCUUGAGUAAAUCUAACCAGCUUCGUUGCCUCAUGUUCAAUUCUUUAUGAUUAAAGAGAUACUGGAGACUCUUAUGAUUAGUGAACAACUUGCACUUCGUGCCGUAGAGGUAAUGCCUCCAUAUCUUUAGGGUAAAUACUACCGCCGCCAACUCCAAAUCGUGAGUGGGGUAGUUCUUUUCGUGCUCUUUCAAUUGUCGGGAUGCAUAUGCUAUCACCUUUUCUCUUUGGGUCAGAACACAACCCAAUCCGACUCCAGAUGCAUCACUGUAAACUGUGAAGUCUUCAACUCCAUCGGGUAGAGAAAGUAUCGGUGCUUCACAUAACUUCUUCUUUAGGUUCUCGAAUGCCUCAUCGUGUUUCUCACUCCACGUAUAUGUAGCUCCUUUGUGGGUCAAAGCUGUUAAUGGAGCAGCUAUCAAAGAAAAUCCUUGGAUAAAUCGUCGGUAGUACCCAGUUAGUCCUAGAAAGCUUUGGAUCUCUGUGGGACUUUUCGGACGUUCCCACUUCAUCAUAUCCUCGAUCUUUGCGAGGUCAACCAUUAUCCCUUCUUGGUUAACCAUGUGACCCAAGAACUGGACUUCUCGUAUCCAAAAGUCGCAUUUGGAGAACUUAGCAUAAAGCUUCUCCUCCUUUAAUACUUCCAACACUUCUCGUAGAUGCUUGCCAUGCUCCUCUUGGCUUUUCGAGUAGAUGAGAAUGUCGUCGAUGAACACUAUCACAGAUUUAUCGAGGAAUGGUUUACAAACCCUAUUCAUCAAAUCCAUGAAUGCUGCGGGAGCAUUGGUUAGUCCGAAUGACAUAACCAAGAACUCGUAGUGUCCAUAUCUUGUUCUGAAUGCAGUCUUCUCAAUAUCCUGCUCUCUCACCUUCAGCUGAUGAUAUCCUGACCUAAGAUCGAUCUUUGAGAAGUAGCUCGAACCUUGCAGCUGAUCGAAUAGGUCAUCAAUCCUCGGCAAUGGAUACUUGUUCUUCACCGUUGCCUUAUUCAGCUCUCGGUAGUCUAUACACAUUCUCAUGCUUCCGUCCUUCUUCUUUACGAAUAACACGGGAGCUCCCCAUGGUGAUGAACGAGGUCGAAUGAAACCGUUGUCCAACAACUCCUGAAGUUGCGUCAUGAGCUCCUUCAUCUCCGUCGCUGCUAAUCGGAAAGGUGCCUUUGCUAUCGGUGUUGUGCCUGGUAACAAGUCUAUACGAAACUCCACUUGCCUAUCAAGUGGUAAUCCGGGAAGAUCUUCAGGAAAGACUUCCGGAUAAUCAUAUACGAUUGGUAUAUUUUGCACCUCUUUCUUCUCCUUCUUAGCAUCAAUUACGAAUGCCAAGUAUGAUGCACAUCCUUUGGACAAACAUUUCUUGGCUUUCAUCAGGGAGAUGAUUCCAGAAUUCACUCUGCGUUUGUUCCCGUACACCAUAAAUGAUUCCCUUCCGGGUGGGUUUACCUUUACUAUCUUCUUUCGGCAUUGAAUCUCAGCAUCGUUGGCGCUAAGCCAAUCCAUACCCAAAACGAUGUCGAAACCGUUUAACUCUAUGGGUAAUAGCUCUUCGUGGAAUUCGUUUCCGUUUAGGUCGAUGACGAUGUUCCUAAUACGAUUACUAACAGGUACGAAUUUGCCACUGGCAACUUCUACAAUCAGGGCAUUAUCAAGUUUUUCUACAGGCAAUGCUAAUUUCCCACCAAAUUUAUGUGACACAAAGGAGUAGUUGGCUCUGGAAUCAAAUAGUAUAUUUGCAGGCAAACCAUUUACAAGAAAGGUACCUGAAGCGACGUCUGCUGCCUCCUUCGCAGCCUCAAGUGUCAUCUGGAAGGCCCUCGCCUUCGGCUUCGGAGGUAUGUUGGGUCUUCCUGCCUCCUUCUUCUUCGGGCAAACCUUUGAAAUGUGCCCCUCCUCAUUGCACUCAUAACAGACCUUCUUAGUGAACGUGCAUUCGUUGGCAUAGUGCCCAGGCUUUCCACACUUGAAACAAGUGACUCCUCCAUCACAUUUCCCCCGAUGCUUCUUCUUGCAUUUGUUGCACCAUUUUGCUUCGGUUCCUCCUCCGCUCGAACCAGACUUCGAGAAUUUACCCUUCAUACCGAACCUCAAGGAUCCGUCAAAUUUCCUCUUCUCUCCCACCUCUGCUCUCUCCAGACCCUUCUCUCGUAUCUAGGUCUCCACAUUUUUAGCAGCCCAGAUGGCGGCUUUCAGAGUGGUAGUUUGCUUGACCAUUGGAGCGAAGUCUGCUGGUAAUCCAAGUGCAAAAUUGUUAACCUUGGAGAGUUCAGUUGGGAUGAGGUGAGGAACAAGCUUCAUUUUCUUAGUAAAGCUGGCAGCGUAUUCAGUAACGCUCAUUCUUCCCUUCUUCAGGUUUUGGAAUUCGUUGUUGAUCUCCAGAAGAUCAUGCUCAGAGCAGUAUUGCAUCUUCAACUGUACCAGAAAAUCCUCCCACGACAUCUUGCUUGCUUCACCUUUGGGCAUUGAAUCAGCUAGUAGCUUCCACCAACUUAGUACUCCAGAUUUCAACAGAGGAACCGCGAGAGCGGUCUUCUGCCUGUUGCUACACUCGCAACUCUCAAAAAUCGUCUCCAUCUCAGAGAUCCAGUUCAUGACUUCCACCGGCGUCGGGCUUCCAGAUAGACUCGGUGGUUUGGACGCCAUGAAAUCCUUGUAUUUGCAUCCAUGUCCGUCAUUCCCUCCAUCCUGGUGGUUUUGCCUAACUAUCGGUGGGUUGGCUUGACCAAUAGUCCCACUGUAGUUUCCCUCCUCAGUCUGCCCUUCAUUCAACUCGGGCUAUUCGAUCUGUAUGGUCACUUCCUCUCGAUUUUGCUGGAGCAAACGUCUGGUUUCCUCCAUUUGACGAUCCAACAUCGCCUGGNCUGGAUCAUCGCUUGCCCUCCAGCCAUCGUUAUUGGCUCAGCAGUGGCUUCCACAACCGGUAUUUGCUCAAUCAUAGGGGGUUGGUUUCUGUUCCCAUAUGCAUUCAUGUUUCCGCUACGGGUCCUUGCCAUCUUGAUCUAUACACCGAAUAUGGUGAAUUUAGAUCUUUAUUUAGGAUAGACGUUUAAAUCAUCCUUAUCCGUCUGAAACGUUUACAUGCUAGUUCUAAUAUCGUAGUUAAAUGCUUAGAAUCCUAAACACAUAAGGUUUCCAGAUCCGGUCGGCAAUAGACCAUAGAUCCGAACAAAUAACAGCAUAUCAGGCACAAGCAUUUAGCACAUAAAAGCAUUUUAGGCACAAUUCCUAAAAUAAGCUAGUGCUCACACCUCACAAUCAUCGCUUAGCAUUCUAAGUUUAAGUCUAGAAAUCCUACAAAUUCCUAGUUCGCUUAAACUAAUGCUCUGAUACCAACUGUGACAUCCCCAAAAUCACGGCCAGAAAAGACCGGUUUGUUUAUGCUUUGUUUAAAAAUCAGAGUUACAUUUUAAAUGAAAGUGUUGCGGAAUUUGUCCCAAAACAAAAAUAUGAUAAAGAUUUAUCAAAAGCAUUUCCAUAGAAAUGUAUUUCAUUAAAAGACUCGGGAUGUCAUGUUCGUACAGAUCAAAAGCAUAAACAGUACAAUAUAAGCCUUACUACAUUAUUUCAUAUCUACAGGCCUAUAUCCGUAAUCCCUCGUCCAAAACAUCACAUCUAUGCUCAUGCGCCACUACCUGUAAUACAUAAAACUGAGUGGGUCAGGCUUGGGAGCCUGGUGAGCACAUAGGGUUUUCAACCCACAAUAAAUAAGUUUAUUAAUUUCAUCAAUCAACAAUAACCCGAUUACCCGUUCCCGUUAUCCUCACUUUACGUCCCUAAACACCUAUCAUAAGGGACCUAGCCUAAGGAUCAUCAUCGGGAUGGACACUACUGCUAAGGGGAUUCCUCAGCAAUAAAUGUCCUAAAGGCAACCAUGUGGGGGAUGGAGUACACCGGUGAACACAUCGUUCACAAACACCUACAGGUUGCGAGCCUGCUAGUGUUCCACUGGACUGUCUAGAAGAGUCCGUGGUCGUCAUCCAUACUCUGCUAGAUGACAGAAUCAACAACAUCAACAUCGAGGCCUCUCAUCAUUUUAUCACACAUCACCUAUUACAUCUACCCAUGUUUUACCCCAACAUUUUCAUAGAUAUAAAAUACAUAUACAGUUUAAAUCAUUGAAAACAUGUAUAAAAACGUUCAUCCAACAUAGAUAGCAAGUAUUCAGAUAAUAUGCACACAUAGCAUGUAAUUUACAUAAAAUACUUCAUAUUUAUGUGUAAGCUGAAAGUAACUAUG
Molecule: long non-coding RNA, 7719 nt
Filed under: Lactuca sativa (garden lettuce)
Lineage: Eukaryota; Viridiplantae; Streptophyta; Magnoliopsida; Asterales; Asteraceae
Description: long non-coding RNA (LSAT_LNC001676)
Source: RNAcentral